This 499-nucleotide ribosomal RNA is filed under the name uncultured bacterium. RNAcentral's name for it is "bacterial SSU rRNA". It matches the Rfam family "Bacterial small subunit ribosomal RNA", at positions 30 to 516 of the family's 1533-position model. The record is from RNAcentral.
AUUGAACGCUGGCGGCAUGCCUUACACAUGCAAGUCGAACGGCAGCACGGGGGCAACCCUGGUGGCGAGUGGCGAACGGGUGAGUAACGCAUCGGAAUGUACCCAGUAGUGGGGGAUAACUAGUCGAAAGAUUAGCUAAUACCGCAUACGCACUGAGGUGGAAAGCGGGGGAUCGCAAGACCUCGCGCUAUUGGAGCAGCCGAUGUCCGAUUAGGUAGUUGGUGGGGUAAAGGCCUACCAAGCCUGCGAUCGGUAACUGGUCUGAGAGGACGACCAGUCACACUGGGACUGAGACACGGCCCAGACUCCUACGGGAGGCAGCAGUGGGGAAUUUUAGACAAUGGGCGCAAGCCUGAUCCAGCAAUGCCGCGUGUGUGAAGAAGGCCUUCGGUUGUAAAGGUACACUUUUGUCGGGAGGCGAACGGACGUUGCUAUAACCAGACGCUAAUGACGGUACCGCACGAAUAAGCAACCGGCCGUAACUACGUGCCAGCAAGCC